This 510-nucleotide ribosomal RNA is filed under the name uncultured bacterium. RNAcentral describes it as "partial 16S ribosomal RNA". It matches the Rfam family "Bacterial small subunit ribosomal RNA", at positions 28 to 507 of the family's 1533-position model. The record is from RNAcentral.
GACGAACGCUGGCGGCGUGCUUAACACAUGCAAGUCGAACGAAGAGCGACGGAAGCUUGCUUCUAUCAAUCUUAGUGGCGAACGGGUGAGUAACGCGUAAUCAACCUGCCCUUCAGAGGGGGACAACAGUUGGAAACGACUGCUAAUACCGCAUACGAUCUAACCUCGGCAUCGAGGAUAGAUGAAAGGUGGCCUCUACAUGUAAGCUAUCACUGAAGGAGGGGAUUGCGUCUGAUUAGCUAGUUGGAGGGGUAACGGCCCACCAAGGCGAUGAUCAGUAGCCGGUCUGAGGGGAUGAACGGCCACAUUGGGACUGAGACACGGCCCAGACUCCUACGGGAGGCAGCAGUGGGGAAUCUUCCGCAAUGGACGAAAGUCUGACGGAGCAACGCCGCGUGAGUGAUGACGGCCUUCGGGUUGUAAAGCUCUGUUAAUCGGGACGAAAGGCCUUCUUGCGAAUAGUGAGAAGGAUUGACGGUACCGGAAUAGAAAGCCACGGCUAACUACGUG